UCAUCCUUCUUGGUUACCUGGUAUAUCUUAGUGGUAGGUGUAGUAGAAUGGUUACCUGGUAUAUCUUAGUGGUAGGUGUAGUAGAAUGGUUACCUGGUAUAUCUUAGUGGUAGGUGUAGUAGAAUGGUUACCUGGUAUAUCUUAGUGGUAGGUGUAGUAGAAUGGUUACCUGGUAUAUCUUAGUGGUAGGUGUAGUAGAAUGGUUACCUGGUAUAUCUUAGUGGUAGGUGUAGUAGAAUGGUUACCUGGUAUAUCUUAGUGGUAGGUGUAGUAGAAUGGUUACCUGUAUAUCUUAGUGGUAGGUGUAGUAGAAUGGUUACCUGGUAUAUCUUAGUGGUAGGUGUAGUAGAAUGGUUACCUGGUAUAUCUUAGUGGUAGGUGUAGUAGAAUGGUUACCUGGUAUAUCUUAG
Oncorhynchus keta (chum salmon) is the source of this 410-nucleotide long non-coding RNA. RefSeq lists it as uncharacterized. The transcript is spliced from 3 exons. The record is from RefSeq and is a predicted model, not a curated record. Lineage: Eukaryota; Metazoa; Chordata; Actinopteri; Salmoniformes; Salmonidae.